RNAcentral lists this transfer RNA (76 nucleotides) under Alphaproteobacteria bacterium. Its description in RNAcentral is "tRNA-Ala". It matches the Rfam family "tRNA". Rfam says of the family: Transfer RNA (tRNA) molecules are approximately 80 nucleotides in length. The record is from RNAcentral. Lineage: Bacteria; Pseudomonadati; Pseudomonadota; Alphaproteobacteria.
GGGGGUGUAGCUCAGUUGGUAGAGCGCCAGCUUUGCAAGCUGGAUGUCGUCGGUUCGAACCCGGUCAUCUCCACCA